GCUCCGGUAGUGCAGUGUUUAGCACGGGUUCCCGUAAAGGGUGAGACGCGGGUUCAACUCCCGCCCGAGGUU
Molecule: non-coding RNA, 72 nt
Organism: Parelaphostrongylus tenuis
Lineage: Eukaryota; Metazoa; Nematoda; Chromadorea; Rhabditida; Metastrongylidae
Source: the annotation of a GenBank genome assembly